AGCAGCCGCCGCGGUAAUACGUAGGGUGCGAGCGUUAAUCGGAAUUACUGGGCGUAAAGCGUGCGCAGGCGGUUCGUUAAGACAGAUGUGAAAUCCCCGGGCUUAACCUGGGAACUGCAUUUGUGACUGGCGAGCUAGAGUAUGGCAGAGGGUGGUAGAAUUCCACGUGUAGCAGUGAAAUGCGUAGAGAUGUGGAGGAACACCGAUGGCGAAGGCAGCCCCCUGGGCCAAUACUGACGCUCAUGCACGAAAGCGUGGGGAGCAAACAGGAUUAGAUACCCGCGUAGUCCCUGUCUCUUAUAA
Molecule: ribosomal RNA, 303 nt
Filed under: uncultured bacterium
Lineage: Bacteria
Description: partial 16S ribosomal RNA
Rfam family: Bacterial small subunit ribosomal RNA
Source: RNAcentral